AACGAACGCUGGCGGCAUGCCUAACACAUGCAAGUCGAACGAGACCUUCGGGUCUAGUGGCGCACGGGUGCGUAACGCGUGGGAACCUGCCCUUAGGUUCGGAAUAACUCUCCGAAAGGGGUGCUAAUACCGGAUAAUGUCUUCGGACCAAAGAUUUAUCGCCUUUGGAUGGGCCCGCGUUGGAUUAGCUAGUUGGUAGGGUAAAAGCCUACCAAGGCGACGAUCCAUAGCUGGUCUGAGAGAAUGAUCAGCCACACUGGGACUGAGACACGGCCGAGACUCCUACGGGAGGCAGCAGUGGGGAAUAUUGGACAAUGGGCGAAAGCCUGAUCCAGCAAUGCCGCGUGAGUGAUGAAGGCCUUAGAGUUGUAAAGCUCUUUUACCCGGGAUGAUAAUGACAGUACCGGGAGAAUAAGCUCCGGCUAACUCCGUG
This 433-nucleotide ribosomal RNA is filed under the name uncultured bacterium. RNAcentral's name for it is "partial 16S ribosomal RNA". It matches the Rfam family "Bacterial small subunit ribosomal RNA", at positions 29 to 507 of the family's 1533-position model. The record is from RNAcentral.